Molecule: non-coding RNA, 87 nt
Organism: Gossypium raimondii (Peruvian cotton)
Lineage: Eukaryota; Viridiplantae; Streptophyta; Magnoliopsida; Malvales; Malvaceae
Source: Rfam
CACGUCAGCGCGACCUGUUGAUGUGGAAGGAAAUCGCGUCCUUGAGGGAGUGAUUUCCUUCCAUGUCAGCAGGUCGCGCUGACGUGG